AGAUUGAACGCUGGCGGCAUGCCUUACACAUGCAAGUCGAACGGUAACGCGGGGCAACCUGGCGACGAGUGGCGAACGGGUGAGUAAUGCAUCGGAACGUGCCCAGUAGUGGGGGAUAGCCCGGCGAAAGCCGGAUUAAUACCGCAUAUGACCUACGGGUGAAAGCGGGGGACUCGCAAGAGCCUCGCGCUAUUGGAGCGGCCGAUGUCAGAUUAGCUAGUUGGUGGGUAAAAGCCUACCAAGGCGACGAUCUGUAGCUGGUCUGAGAGGACGACCAGCCACACUGGGACUGAGACACGGCCCAGACUCCUACGGGAGGCAGCAGUGGGAAUUUUGGACAAUGGCGCAAGCCUGAUCCAGCCAUGCCGCGUGCGGGAAGAACGGUCCGUUCGGGUUCGUAAACCCGGUCGUUUUAGGUCCGUAGGGAACGAAACCGGCUUCCGUGGGACUUAAUACCGUUGGGUAAUGACGGUACC
Molecule: ribosomal RNA, 476 nt
Filed under: uncultured soil bacterium
Lineage: Bacteria
Description: bacterial SSU rRNA
Rfam family: Bacterial small subunit ribosomal RNA
Source: RNAcentral